AAUCAACGCUGGCGGCGUGCCUCAGACAUGCAAGUCGAACGCGAAAGUCCCCUUCGGGGGACAAGUAGAGUGGCGCACGGGUGAGUAACACGUAGGUAAUCCACCUUCGGAUGGGAAUAACAACCGGAAACGGUUGCUAAUACCGCAUAAUGCAGCGGCACCUAAUGGUGACAGUUGUUAAAGCGGGGGAUCGAAAGACCUCGCGUCUGAAGAGGAGCCUGCGGCGGAUUAGCAGUUGGUAAGGUAACGGCUUACCAAGGCGACGAUCCGUAGCCGGCCUGAGAGGGCGGUCGGCCACACUGACACUGACA
This 311-nucleotide ribosomal RNA is filed under the name uncultured bacterium. RNAcentral describes it as "bacterial SSU rRNA". It matches the Rfam family "Bacterial small subunit ribosomal RNA", at positions 32 to 324 of the family's 1533-position model. The record is from RNAcentral.